This is a non-coding RNA of Camellia sinensis, 1184 nucleotides long. The record is from RefSeq and is a predicted model, not a curated record. Lineage: Eukaryota; Viridiplantae; Streptophyta; Magnoliopsida; Ericales; Theaceae.
CAAGCCGCGGUUGAAUCUCAAAGUAGGUAACCUAAUGAUGUAAAAAAAACUUGAUUAGUGACUCGAUAAUUAAACUUGGUUAUUCCUAUUAUAAAGUGGUGCAUUAUAGAUUUGUGAAAUGAAAAUGACUCUUGAAUGCAGUGUUGUUUAAAAUGAUAUUUUAGGGAUGCAUUGUUGGUUAUCCGCGAACAGAUGUAAUUAUUAAUGAAAAUUCAAAGAUAACGUAUUCUCAUCGGAUGGCUCUUAUAUCUGACGAACUUUAUAUGGAAACCAAAACAAAUUGUAAUGGUAAUUAUUAUGAGGUAGAUCCGAACCGAGCAGAAUGCUUUGAAAAUCUUCAAAAGGUCUCAAAGUUGAUUCAUGAAAUAAACAAAAAUUGCAUCCUGGAACCUAAGUGUACUUGGGCAUCACCAGAACAAAAUGGUGAAUCGGACAGACGAUCUUGUCGAAGAGGAGCAGGAAAAUUUCAUUUUCUCACCUCCAAAAAUUCCCGAAAUGUGGUGUCAUGUAAUUCUCACUCUACAUGCAUUAAUUUUUUUCUUUUUCUUUUUUAAGCGAUAAGACAUAAUUUAUAAAAGGGUUUAGCUUUUUUAAAGUUAUCUUAACUUGAGAGAGCGUCUAAACUUGGUAGGCCUAUUUUGGGACUGAUUUAAGUGAUCCGAACAGUUCAAUUUUUAAGACUUGUUGAGUAGAAUAUUCAUGUAAAAAAUCAAGAUAAUUGGAUAUCAGUAGCUAUAUGUUUUAAUCAUAUUUGUUUUACAAAAAUGAACGACAAAUGUAAUUUCAAGAAUAAUCAUUCAUUUUUUGUAAUACAAAUUUAAUCCAAACAUAUAACUACCAAUAUCCAAUCAUCUUGAUUUUUUACAAGAAUAUUCUACUUAAUGAGCCCUACAAAGUGAACGGUUUGGAUUACCGAAAUCAGUUUCAAAAUAGGUUUAUCAAGCCCAAACAUUCUCUCAUGCUGAGAUUACAAAUUUAAGAAAAACCAAAUUCAUUUAUGAAUAUCAUGAAACUAACCUCAAACUGAACAUUUAACUAUUAAAAAAAAUUAAUAAAAAUUCUUAGACAGAAUAAUAAUAUGAUUGAGUUAUACAUGUGCAGAACUUCAAUUAUGCAUUGGCUUAUUGGGGUGUUUGUUUCAGCUUUUCAGAGCCAACUUAUGGCUUUUAGCUUUGAAAAAGUUA